AAACCAGCGCCACAAGUGGGGACCACAUUUAUUGGGUCUAAAGCGUUCGUAGCCGGUUUAGCAAAUCUUCUGUGAAAUUGUUAAGCUCAACUUAACAGCGUGCAGAAGACACUGCUGAACUUGAGACCGGGAGGAGUUAGAAGUAUGCUUGGGGGAGCGGUAAAAUGCUAUAAUCCCUUGUAGACUACCAGUGGCGAAGGCGUCUAACUAGAACGGGUCUGACGGUGAGGGACGAAAGCUAGGGGAGCAAUCCGGAUUAGAUACCCGAGUAGUCC
This 275-nucleotide ribosomal RNA is filed under the name uncultured bacterium. RNAcentral describes it as "partial 16S ribosomal RNA". It matches the Rfam family "Archaeal small subunit ribosomal RNA", at positions 473 to 747 of the family's 1478-position model. The record is from RNAcentral.